AUUGAACGCUGGCGGCAUGCUUUACACAUGCAAGUCGAACGGAUUAGAGGGGCUUGCUCCUCUAGUUAGUGGCGAACGGGUGAGUAAUGCAUCGGAACGUACCGUGUAGUGGGGAUAACCCGGCGAAAGUCGGAUUAAUACCGCAUACGAUCUAAGGAUGAAAGCGGAGGAUCGCAAGACCUCGCGCUAUACGAGCGGCCGAUGUCGGAUUAGCUAGUUGGUAGGGUAAAGGCCUACCAAGGCAACGAUCCGUAGCGGGUCUGAGAGGAUGAUCCGCCACACUGGGACUGAGACACGGCCCAGACUCCUACGGGAGGCAGCAGUGGGGAAUUUUGGACAAUGGACGCAAGUCUGAUCCAGCCAUGCCGCGUGAGUGAAGAAGGCCUUAGGGUUGUAAAGCUCUUUUACCCGAGAUGAUAAUGACAGUAUCGGGAGAAUAAGCUCCGCUAACUCCGUGCCAGCAGCCGCGGUAAU
Molecule: ribosomal RNA, 474 nt
Filed under: uncultured bacterium
Lineage: Bacteria
Description: bacterial SSU rRNA
Rfam family: Bacterial small subunit ribosomal RNA
Source: RNAcentral